RNAcentral lists this long non-coding RNA (297 nucleotides) under Amborella trichopoda. RNAcentral's name for it is "long non-coding RNA (ATRI_LNC005396)". The record is from RNAcentral. Lineage: Eukaryota; Viridiplantae; Streptophyta; Magnoliopsida; Amborellales; Amborellaceae.
UUCAAGAUAGAGAGAGUUGUGAAGGGCGGAUUUAUUAAUUUUGUUGUUUAUUUUUUAAAAAAAGUUACUGUUGUGGGGUAAAUUUGUAAAUAUUACUACAAGGCAAAGGGUAAUUUUAUCAUCUCCAUAAGGGGCAAAAUUGAAAUUUUAACUAAAAGACAAUGGCACUCUACAAAUAAUGUUCCAAGACACUACCAAAAUGCCAUUGUACUUUUGUGAAAGUUUCAAAUUUGCCUUUGCUUAAUGGUAACGUUGCCUAUUUAAAUAAAUUUUUAAUAAAAAAGUAAUGAUUGUUUU